GACGAACGCUGGCGGCGUGCUUAACACAUGCAAGUCGAACGGAAAGGCCCUGCCUUUGUGGGGUGCUCGAGUGGCGAACGGGUGAGUAACACGUGAGUGACCUGCCCUUGACUUUGGGAUAACUUCAGGAAACUGGGGCUAAUACCGGAUAGGAGCUCCUGCUGCAUGGUGGGGGUUGGAAAGUUUCGGCGGUUGGGGAUGGACUCGCGGCUUAUCAGCUUGUUGGUGGGGUAGUGGCUUACCAAGGCUUUGACGGGUAGCCGGCCUGAGAGGGUGACCGGCCACAUUGGGACUGAGAUACGGCCCAGACUCCUACGGGAGGCAGCAGUGGGGAAUAUUGCACAAUGGGCGGAAGCCUGAUGCAGCAACGCCGCGUGCGGGAUGACGGCCUUCGGGUUGUAAACCGCUUUCGCCUGUGACGAAGCGUGAGUGACGGUAAUGGGUAAAGAAGCACCGGCUAACUACGUG
RNAcentral lists this ribosomal RNA (468 nucleotides) under uncultured bacterium. Its description in RNAcentral is "partial 16S ribosomal RNA". It matches the Rfam family "Bacterial small subunit ribosomal RNA", at positions 28 to 507 of the family's 1533-position model. The record is from RNAcentral.